Molecule: long non-coding RNA, 423 nt
Organism: Oncorhynchus tshawytscha (Chinook salmon)
Lineage: Eukaryota; Metazoa; Chordata; Actinopteri; Salmoniformes; Salmonidae
Source: Ensembl
GAGAGAGAAGAAAGAAGGAGAGAGGAGAAGAAAGAAGGAGAGAGGAGAAGAAAGAAGGAGAGAGGAGAAGAAAGAAGGAGAGAGAGAAACAAAGAAGGAGAGAGGAGAAGAAAGAAGGAGAGAGAGAAACAAAGAAGGAGAGAGAGAAACAAAGAAGGAGAGAGGAGAAGGAAGGGGUUACAGGAAAACAUACAUCACAGCUGGCGUCUGUAGCCAGAACCAACACGAUCCAUCCGCCUGGGACUCCACUUCACGGGAUUGGCUGGACCUCCGCCCAGGGUCAAAGGUGAUCCUGCUGGCUGGGCCAAGCCUCCACAUUCAAAAAGAAUUGGACUGUUCCCAGGCUCUCUCAUGCAUCUCUAAGCUCUCCAACACAGGACAAUUUACUGGCUGGGAGCAGCAUAGCCAAGGACCAAGAGCUGG